GGGUUUGAUCUUCAGCACCACAUAAAAAUGAAUAAAAUAAAGAUGACACAAGCCUGUGUUCUGACACCCAACCUUAUCCUGAGCCUUACAGCAAUUCCACUGCAGCUUCUAAGCCUCUGCCUGGACUCCACUAGGUGAAUAUUUAAGGAACCAACCAACAUGUCACUGGCCAACAGAAUCCAUUCUGGCUGCCCUAGUGUGAAGCAUGCUGGGAGCCUACUCAAGAGAGGGAACUGCACCCAGCACAAGAAGAUAGUCUUGGGAAUACAGUCUGUUUUUGAAGUUGUCUUCUUCAUUCUUUGCUAUGACUUUAUUUUCCUCUUCUCAAAAGUGACAAUAUGGUAGUGCAUUCCUUGGUAUGCCCUUGAUAGGUAAUGGGAAAGUCUGAAAGGUUUCCUUGAGAUCAGAGCUAAGCGGCUGCAUUAGAUUAAUAUAAUUUUCUUGCUUAAACAACAACCUUGAAUAUCCAACUCAUUCCAAUUCAACACACACCCAUUGGGUAUUUACCCUGAGGAGCUAACACAAGGCUCUGUACUAGAAAUUUCCAGUGUUAUUUAAUAAUUACAACAACCAUGAAUGUAACAGCCCUAUUUAUAAAGGAAAACAAAACCAAAAACACCCAUACCCUCAGAGAGGGUAAUUUAUUUGCUGAAAGUCAAAGAAGCCACAUCAAACCCAGGCAUUCAAACUCCAAAAUUGCAGACUGACUGUGGAAUUCAAGGCCUCCCAAACACUCUCUCUCUA
Urocitellus parryii (Arctic ground squirrel) is the source of this 744-nucleotide long non-coding RNA. RefSeq lists it as uncharacterized. Lineage: Eukaryota; Metazoa; Chordata; Mammalia; Rodentia; Sciuridae. The record is from RefSeq and is a predicted model, not a curated record.